AUACGUCUUUCUGUUCUCUUGCUGUUGGUGUUUGCAGGCGGGUGCCUGUUCUGCUUCUAAGAGGAAAUCUUUAAGAACUGCAAUGUGAUAGUUGCGAUGGCGCGCUGCAUCCCAAUCGCAACCAUCUGUCUCCUGGAAAGAGCGUCACGCGGGGAAAACUCCACCGCCUGGCUUAGCGGGGCCGUUUUAAAAAGGCUCGUCUAGACCAGCGUUCCCAACCUCAGCAACCUUUAAGAUCUGUGGACUUCAACCUCAUGCUGGCUAAGGAAUUCUGGGAGUUGAAGUAUACACAUGGCCAGCUCUGAACUUUGAGUCGUUGGCCCUUUGUGUACUGUAUUGCGGAAGCCGGGAACGACGAAAUAAAAGGGCCUCAAACAACCGGGCGAUCAUGUCUGUUUUGCAACAAAGCGUGCAUGUUCUAAUGAUAUGUUGAUAUGAAUUCACCACCAUUAUAGUACUCAUAAUUCUAUGAGCCCUCCAGAGGUGUGCCUAAACGGUGACAGGAAUAUUUAAAAAGCAUAAAUACAAGAAAAUGUCAAGCGGCAGCUUCUGAAAGAUCGAUUGGAUUUCGUGAAAAGAUGGAAGAGAACCACCACGGGACGACCAACCGCAACCGCUAGCAGGAAAACACGUGAGUGCGGAAAAAUCGGAUGAAAACGAAAGGGAAAGGAAAUCUGCUGACGGCGCCGCGCGUGAUCUGAGGAGCAAAACGGCCCAAGCUGUAAACAAGAGUGAAAGCGAGCCCGACCGCUGAGGAGGAUCGCGUCCCGCGGUGGGGUUUAACGCCUUCGGCGGCGUCGGCAAGCAAGUAUUCAAGUGGAAAAUGCAGCUGAAAUUCCAACGAACCAUUGUUGAGUUCAUUAAAGGGUUAAGAGAGUCGAGCUCCUGCCUCUUGUAUCUGAGUAAUCUCUCCCUUGCUUUUGGCUGUAAUGCUUUGCUAUUUUAUGCCCUUGUCUGGGAAGCUGGGAAUAUCAUCAACCUUCCCACCAAAAGAAUUGGCUUCUACAAUUUUUGCUUGUGGAAUCAGAAAGCAGAACUGGAUUGCCUCAUGAUCAGAGACUUGGAGAAGUUAGGGAUCAGCAAGGUUGCAAUGGUGCUGUCGAGAGUCUGUGUAUACAUCAGCCUGGUUUUGUGCCUCUUCGCUGCAACUACAGUCGUGCAGCAGGCCCUAUGCUUCAAAGACAGAGACGGAUGGAAACUGGCUCGGAUUCUUCUGUCUGUCAGCAGUUUGAGUUUGCCUCUUGGUCUUGCUUUGUUUAUCUUUCCCAAUCAGAGAUGGAUUCAAGUCUCUGAACUCAGUAAGGGUUUUGCAGCCCUUGUUGGGGCUUAUAUUUUACUUCUCCUCCACCUGCUCAUAAUUAUCCUCUACCUUGCAAAGUUCAAAGAGACUCUUCCUGAGAGACAGUUUACUCCUAUAUAGAGCCUUCCAUGAGAAUUUUUCUUCACACUGAAUGGCAAAAUAGACCACAAGAAUUCAUCAUGCAACUCCAGCCUCUGUUGUUUGUUUAUAGUUUGGUGUACUGGAUGAACCCAGAAGAUUAAAUAAAUCAUGGCCAAGUUGAAUAUGGAAUAACAUGUUUGGCAAACACAGCCAAUGUGAGGCAACAUCUGAAUAUAACAAACACUGUGGUGAAUUGAGUGGGGGGACCAGUGCAAAAAUACCUUCCAAGGCCUGAAUGAAUUGAAUUCAGGGAAUGCUCUCUAAUAUGAGUGAACUGGAAGAGAGGUAACACUUUUAACACAUAUACUUAUGCAUAGUCUCCCCUAUUUCAAGGGCUGGAAAAUCAACUGUUGCCCUCUGAAGAGGAACCACACUUAGAUUUAAGCAUUUUCUUUUGGUUUGGGGAAAGGAUUACAGUAAGGCAAAAAGGAGUACAUUAAGUAUUGAGCCUCCAUAAAAUCCCUCAGGCCUCCUUCCACAAUGGGGUUUAGUCUCUUCUAUUUUUGGAACACAGCCCUUGCUGUACAAAGCAUGGUAUGGCCUGUAAGCUGACAGAAAUUGCACACUCCUCUUUCAAGACAAGAGUAGUCAGCUACUGCUUCCUAGUAUUGAAACUUUCCUUGGGAGCUAACUUGGGAAUUCUCGUAUUGUUUGAGACAUUAAUUGAAUCUAUGCGGUUCUGUGAAUGUUGGCUUGCCUUGAAAACCAGAUCUUUUCCCCUGCCUACAUGUCCCCACACAUUCUGAGAUCAACAGAAUAUCCAGUGCGCCGUUGCAUGGAAGAGGGACUUGUGUGGCUGCUUCUCUUCUCCAUUCUGAAGCACAACGUAUGGUGGUUCAUAUUUUGUCAACUGACUUUCUGCCAGAAACAAAGUAAUUUGUAAAGUAAGUGAAAUCAUCUUAAUUAUUACCAGAUGUGUCAGAGUUCCAUUUGUAAAACAGCAUAACUUAAAGGGAAACUUUCUUCUAUGUAGUAUUUCUAUACUUUUUCCAUUUCUGACAUAUAUUAGAAUACAUUGUUUGUAAGCUAGUAUAAAUCUAGGCAAUUACAACUGAUGCAUUGAACUAUGAUUAAACAAAUUAUAGCACUUAAUUUAGUAUGAAGGUGGCCAGCGUAAAGAAAAGUAAGAACUAUAGAAUUCAAGUCUUCCGAGUCAAGCAAAAAAAAAAAAGUGCUUA
Molecule: non-coding RNA, 2619 nt
Organism: Python bivittatus (Burmese python)
Lineage: Eukaryota; Metazoa; Chordata; Lepidosauria; Squamata; Pythonidae
Source: RefSeq, a predicted model, not a curated record